AGAGUUUGAUCCUGGCUCAGGAUGAACGCUGGCGGCGUGCCUAACACAUGCAAGUCGAGCGAUUCUCUUCGGAGAAGAGCGGCGGACGGGUGAGUAACGCGUGGGUAACCUGCCCUGUACACACGGAUAACAUACCGAAAGGUAUGCUAAUACGAGAUAAUAUACUUUUAUCGCAUGGUAGAAGUAUCAAAGCUCCGGCGGUACAGGAUGGACCCGCGUCUGAUUAGCUAGUUGGUAAGGUAACGGCUUACCAAGGCGACGAUCAGUAGCCGACCUGAGAGGGUGAUCGGCCACAUUGGAACUGAGACACGGUCCAAACUCCUACGGGAGGCAGCAGUGGGGAAUAUUGCACAAUGGGCGAAAGCCUGAUGCAGCAACGCCGCGUGAGCGAUGAAGGCCUUCGGGUCGUAAAGCUCUGUCCUCAAGGAAUAUAAUGACGGUACUUGAGGAGGAAGCCCCGGCUAACUACGUGCCAGCAGCCGCGGUAAUACGUAGGGGGCUAGCGUUAUCCGGAAUUACUGGGCGUAAAGGGUGCGUAGGUGGUUUCUUAAGUCAGAGGUGAAAGGCUACGGCUCAACCGUAGUAAGCCUUUGAAACUGGGAAACUUGAGUGCAGGAGAGGAGAGUGGAAUUCCUAGUGUAGCGGUGAAAUGCGUAGAUAUUAGGAGGAACACCAGUUGCGAAGGCGGCUCUCUGGACUGUAACUGACACUGAGGCACGAAAGCGUGGGGAGCAAACAGGAUUAGAUACCCUGGUAGUCCACGCCGUAAACGAUGAGUACUAGCUGUCGGAGGUUACCCCCUUCGGUGGCGCAGCUAACGCAUUAAGUACUCCGCCUGG
This 839-nucleotide ribosomal RNA is filed under the name uncultured Clostridium sp. Its description in RNAcentral is "bacterial SSU rRNA". It matches the Rfam family "Bacterial small subunit ribosomal RNA", at positions 9 to 873 of the family's 1533-position model. The record is from RNAcentral. Lineage: Bacteria; Bacillati; Bacillota; Clostridia; Eubacteriales; Clostridiaceae.